This 21622-nucleotide long non-coding RNA is filed under the name Lynx pardinus (Iberian lynx). Lineage: Eukaryota; Metazoa; Chordata; Mammalia; Carnivora; Felidae. The record is from RNAcentral.
CCGCGGACGAGGGUGAGUGCCGGGCCCCCGCUGUCCGCCCCGCGGGGGGCCGGGCUUGGGCGCGCUUCCCCGGGGACCAGCGGCGGGGGCGGGGGGGCGGGGGGGUGGAGGGCUCGCCGGCCCGGGCCCGGCCGCGCCGGAGGGCCCCGGGGCUCGCGGGCAGCAGCCGGAGGGGCCCGGGGCGCUCGCGGGCGCGCGGGAAGGAGCGGAGGACCCCCCCACCCCCCCGGGCGCGCAGGAAGAGCCGGAAGACCCCCGGGCGCUCCCGGGCGCGCGGGAAGAGGCUUGGGACCCCGCGGGGUGCUCGCACAGGUGCGCGGGAGGCGGCCGCCCCGCCCCCGGGCGCUCUCACAGGUGCGCGGGAAGAGGCCCGCGCGCAUGCGCGCCGGAGACCACCGACUGGGGCUCAGCGUCCUGGCUCGGGUGGGCCCCGGGGUGGAGGGCGAGGCGCGGAGCUUCGAGGUAGGGGUGGGCCCCGCGAAGGAAGGCGGUGGCCAGACGCCCCCGGAGGCGCGGGACUGGGGCAGCAGGGGCGGGAAGGGAGGGGCAGCAGGGGCGGGAAGGGGGUGGCCGCCGAGGCGGGGGAGGUGGGCGAGGGGGGAGGUGGCCGUGGUGGCCCUGCUGGCGGUGGGGGUGUGGGCAGUGGGCUGGGCGCACCUCCGNNNNNNNNNNNNNNNNNNNNNNNNNNNNNNNNNNNNNNNNNNNNNNNNNNNNNNNNNNNNNNNNNNNNNNNNNNNNNNNNNNNNNNNNNNNNNNNNNNNNNNNNNNNNNNNNNNNNNNNNNNNNNNNNNNNNNNNNNNNNNNNNNNNNNNNNNNNNNNNNNNNNNNNNNNNNNNNNNNNNNNNNNNNNNNNNNNNNNNNNNNNNNNNNNNNNNNNNNNNNNNNNNNNNNNNNNNNNNNNNNNNNNNNNNNNNNNNNNNNNNNNNNNNNNNNNNNNNNNNNNNNNNNNNNNNNNNNNNNNNNNNNNNNNNNNNNNNNNNNNNNNNNNNNNNNNNNNNNNNNNNNNNNNNNNNNNNNNNNNNNNNNNNNNNNNNNNNNNNNNNNNNNNNNNNNNNNNNNNNNNNNNNNNNNNNNNNNNNNNNNNNNNNNNNNNNNNNNNNNNNNNNNNNNNNNNNNNNNNNNNNNNNNNNNNNNNNNNNNNCCGGACUGGGGACCCGGGAGAGCGGAGGGACCCGCCCCGCCGUCUCUCCUCCCUCGGCCGCUCUGAGCCCUGUGGCCGCCGGUCGGGACCUCGAGACCCCGCCCCCGCGGCCCCCGCCCCCGGGGUCGCACUCCCGCCCCGAGGGUGUCGCCCUCAGCCGCCGCUGCCCGCGGUUGCGCUCCCUUCUCGCGGAGCCUGUGCCCCCGACCGGGCCGGGCAGCCCCGUGCCAGCGCCGGUGGCCUGUGCGAACGUGCCCGACAUCACGAUGGGGUGGGGGCCUGACAAGGAGCGGCGUCGAAAUACCCGGUGCGCGGAACCAGCUCCGCCUGCGCCACCGACUGGAAGACGUCCGGAGGGGAGUUUGAAUGCCAGCCGCGCGGCCCGUCCGCACCCACACGUGCUGGGGACCCCCCUGCGCGGGACCGCGCAGGUCUGGGGGAGGGGCCGGCUCGGGAGCCAAGGCUCCCAGAGCAUUUAAACAAGGAGGGUUUUGGGUAAUUCCAGCACCUCUUAGUUUCCUCCGAAACCGUAUUCUCUAUCUCCACCCCCCACAUUUAUGUUAAGGGAAAAGAAAAAAUAUGAUAACCUGCAUUUGUACGCACAACACUGAAGGCGUGAGCAUCAGCUCAAUUCCCUGCCCUUCCCCCUUAGGUGCCGAGGGAGUGGGGAGUUCGCUCUGUUCCCGGCCUGUUCUCUGGGCACCUCUCGCCAGCUCAUUAAAUAGCAGUUACUCAGACUCUAAUUAGGAACUCCUAAUGGGUGCCAGUGCUGCCCUUGAGCCUUUUAUCCUGAGCUCAUGGCGUCCUAUUAUUAGAAUACUCCUCUCCACACCCCAAAAACCACAGAAGCCAGCCUUCUCCUGCCACCAGAUUUGCUCCCGGGAUGGCCCUUGCCUGCAAAUUUAUGGUAAUUGGCGUUGGGAGCCUCUCUUCUGGGGAUAACUAAGCAAAAAUUUUAAUGAGAUAAGAAGUCUCUUGAGCUUUUAGUGUCGACUGCACAGAUACUGCUGGUAAUAUAAUUAGAACAGAAUGAGCAAAAUUGUAAGAUGUUGCUUGCGUUUAAGGCAGUCUCGGUUUGGGAAGGGAGAAAAAAAUAGUGCGGAUGUCUGCCCGAGACUCCAUGCUUGCAGGGAGAUUUUGCAUACGAUCCUCUGGCCUGCUUGCUAUCUGGGCAUCCCUUCAGGGAAGGCCCAGCCUUGACUCUAGAAGACUCUGGAAGGGUGGUGAGGCCCUGGCCUCAUCGAUGAAUGUCUUUGCACACAGGCCCCACUGCUUCCGUUUCCACCUCCUUAAGUCCCGGUACAAACGGCGGUGGGAAGGAAAAGGUCUCUUUUUAGCUUAAAAUACACCUUUGGAGUCUUUGUUCCUGUUCCGGAAGAACAGAGUUUCUCCAAGCUCUGAACGCCUCCAUCUGGAAUCAUAUUUCUGUUGUUUUCUGAAUGCCAACAGCAUAAAUUGCUCAGUAAUAAUAGCUUUGCAGAGAAUCUGGAAUCACUCAGGCAGCUGUAAUGCCCCCGAGCCUCCCUACAUCUGAGCUUUGUGACCCGAGAGGACUGUGGCUUCAUUGGGCUUCAGAGGCGCCUGUGACGCCGUCCGCUUGCAGGGCAGAAAGCCCCCGUGUCGUUUCACACAUCUUCCCCUGGUGACUCAGGAUAAGAUCUGCUCUUCUCUGGAGUUCAAGGGAUUAUUGUCUCCACCGUGGCCCUGAUUGGAGUUUUUCUCUUGCAGUUAUUGUAAUUAUGUUGAAAUUACAGCGUUGGUACCCAGCACAUAUUUGCAAAAUAGUUCGCAAAGAGCAGCAAUAACUUUUGUAAUAAAAUUAAAACUUCUAGGAGUUUAUCUUUUGCCAAGAACCUGGCUCCUGCUGGAAACGAUGUUAAAAUAAACAGUGCCUUGGAAAUUGAAGCCAUUCUCUGUCUUAUGCAAUGUUUGACCAAUUAAAAAUUAAUUUCCUCCUUUCACAAAUAUUUACUGAGUACCUUCCAUGGGUCAGGCACAAUUCUAGGGGCGGUGAUGAAUGAAGUAGACCCAGUCCCCAACCCCUUGCAGCCUAGACUCUAACGAGAUGAAAGUCAGUAAACAUGACCGUGUGAAUUCUUGUGUAGUAACAGAUCAAGACAAGUAUUCUGAAGGAAAGGAAUAAACCAUGAAAGCACAUAACAAGGAAAUGUUGAGUUGAGAUCUGAAGGGUGAGAAGUGGCAAAGGAGGAUGGUAUGGUGAGGUCCCAGGGGGAAUCGUGUGCAAAGGCCAUGUGGUGAGGACUAGGGCACACUGGAAAACUGAAGGAAGGCCAGAGCAGAGAGUCGUAAUUUGUAACUUCAUAUAAUUUUGUUAUUGUGAUAUUUCAUUUAUGUAAAUUGAUGGGGCUUCAUACUUUAGGGCUUGAUAGAGUAGGAUAUGGGUUAAUUUUGCAGAGCUGAGAUCUACCGAAUCAUAAAGGGACAUCACCAAAUAAGAUGAUGUAGACGAAACGUUUCAUAAGCUGAUAAGCACAGUGCCAGCGUUAAUGCUGUGAGUACUAUUGUAUUACAAAGUCUUGGGCUGUGAGGUCCCUCGAGUGUGUGAAUGAGGAACCUGCUACCUUUGAGUCACCGUCUUCUCUCGUUUUUACUGUGGCUGAGCCCCCCCGUCUGGGCUCUGCACAUUCCUCUUGUCUCCUCUGGUCAGUUUGUCACACGGUGGUCAGAGCAGUCAUUUACAAACACAGAUCUUACCGUGUUGGGGCGUCAGUGGCUUCCCACUGUCAAAGCUGCACCCCACAAUUCUUCACAUGGGCGGUGAGACCCCAGUUGCUCUGGUUGUCCCACAAACGCCCGCAUGCGCCGCUGCAUGCGAAACCCUAACCCCCACUGCGAUAGUGUUUGGAGGUGGGGCCUCGGGGUGAGCAGGUCGGGAGGAUGGAACCCGCGUGAAUGGGGUUCGUGCCCUUGCGAGAAGACAGGAGUCUGUCUCAACCGUGUGAGGACAGCGGGAAGUCGGCCACCCAGAUGACCCUCACCCAGCCAUGCUGGCCCCCUGAUCUGGGACUUGCCAGCCUCCAGAACUGUGAGAAAUAAGUAUCUGUUGUCUCUGAUGUUUUUGUAUAGCAACGUCAGCAGACUCAGGGUGGCUUUACACGGGAACAAUCUGCUUACAGAUCUGCGGCGUGAGGACGGCUCGUCUCUGUACCACUCGGCGGGCGGUGCGGUGCGUGGUGGCUUAGAGCCCGCACAGCCUUGAGCUCUGUUGUCUGGGCUCCGGGUGGGGCCGGUUCAGGCAGGCGGGGCCGCUGGAGCGUCCCUGUCUCUCUGCGGCCCCUCCCGGUGCUCUCCCAGCUUGGCCGCUUCAGUGCGCUGGACCUCGUCCACGUCGAGGCACGGUUCCCAAGGACCGCGUCCUGAGGAGGGAGAGCCGGGGGGAGUCCGCGCCUCCUUUCCCAGACUAGGCUUGGAAGUCCCCCCCGUGUCACCUCACGGCAGCUCCCGGCCUGCCCGGGUUCAAAGGCAGGGAACGUGGACCUCACCUCCCGUGGCGAGUGUCCUCUCGCGUGGUGAGAAGAUCGUGCUGGACGGGAAACGUCCGUGGGGCCAUCUUUGGAAAACACCCUGUGUCGCAGCCCACUCUCUGGCCACUAACUUCCUAUUCCUCCCGCGUGCAGUGUCACGACCCCCCCGUCGGGUCCCCCAACCUCAUCCUGUCGUGGCAUCAGGCUCAGGCUCCAGCAUCCCGUCACCGAAAUCAGGCCCAGGUGCGCGUGAGCCGUCCUGGCUGCUGGUCAGGAGUGCAGCUUCGUGAACACGCUCUUCACGUGAGGACCCACGCCCCAAGCCACCUGCCCCGCACCGGACACGCAGUGGCAGACGCGCGUGGGACAGAUGCCGCGGGCCCUGCGGCUGGAACCAGCAGGAUGUUCGUACUUGGACGGAGACAGACUCGUUUCUGCUGAGGUACGGGCUCCUGUGGCCGUGGGGCCGGUGGGGCUGGCGGGCGCCGGGCCGGGGCGGCGGGCCGCCGCUGGAGCCUGAGGGCCGUCCGGGGACAGGCUUCUCUCUUCCUGGGGGACCUCAGCCCUUCCCCCCGCUCCGAGCCCUCGACUGUUGGGUGCGGCCCCCCUGCAUCAGGGAGGGGGUUCUGCCGUAGCCAAGUCCACCAGCUUAAGCGAUCAUUCCCUCUAAACGGUGCCUGCCCAGCCACGCAGACGGGUGCUGAGGGAGCGUCUGGGUACCGGGGCCCAGCCACGCAGACACGUGGACGCCCCCGUCACACCCGCCUCUUCCCCGGCGGAUGCGGGAGGCCCCCAGAGCCUGGCCCGUGCGUCCUGCGCUGCAGUCCGGCCCAAGCUGGCACUUCCUGGAAAGGGCUCGAUUCGAAUUCCUGAGGACGAUUUUUCCAUUGCUCUUGGCCUUGCCUUCUGGAUUCGUGGCGCUCCCUUGGAAGUCACCCUUUCUUGUCCAGAAGAAAUGCCUGGUGUGUGCAGCUGACGCUUUUCUCAGCCUGCUUCCUGUUUCCGUCUUGUGAUGUCUCUGUCCCACGGAGUCCACGCUGGUCGUGCCUCUUCCUGUUUGUGCUGCAGACGCGGGGGGCCGCCUGUGGCUCUGUUGGGACUCGUGCCGUUUGACAGAAGCACCGGUCACGAAUGUCGCUGGCGUGAGUCCUCGGUCUGCCUUGGACCUCCGCCGGGCCAGGGCUGCGCAGAAAAAAAGUCCCUGAAAUUCCCAAAAGCUGCAGGUCAGUGUCCACGAGGCAGGAGCGCCUCAGGGGACUCCUGUCUGAGAGACGCCGAGGCGCCCCGUCCGACAUCUACGAGGCCUCCACAAAAGAUCUGGGUUUGACCCUUCCUUGAAGCUCCUUAAUUUGACGCUCUUGGAGAGGCUGGGAAACGGGCCCGUUUUAUUUUUGACCCCAGCCCCCAGCAAGGCCCGGUUCCUUGAUAUUUGCUUGGUCCCAGUGUCACUUGAGAACCGACUGCUUCCUUCCCGGACCUUGUCUCCUCUCGUUCCAUCGCGCCACCAAGAGAAACCUCAGCAGCGUCACUGAGACCUGCGUGGAGACCGCCCCGAGGCCGUCGGUUCGGCGAGGCUGGCCGUGCCCUCAGCCCCUCUGCCGCCCCGGCACAGGGGGCUCGGGGCAGGGGCCUGGCCCCCGGGGGCCCGCUGGCUGCCAGGCGUCUGCUCAGCUGCUGGACGUCCUUCCGAUCCAGCGCCCUGCCUGGCCGAGAGCCCCGGGGUGGGGGUGGGGGUGGGGGGUGCACAACCAGUCAUUCCAGAAGACCCGCUCGGAACAGCAGGGUUUAUUUUGGUCACACUCUGCAGGGAUCUGCAGGGAGGGUCCUCUGUGCCCCACUCAGCUGAGGGAAAUGCAAACAGAUCCUCCGCAGGUGCACACGCCCUUCCAAAACCCAGGCUGGGGUGCCUGCCGGCGAGCCCUGCCGCUGUCUCUGGUGGCCCCUCUGGCUGGGCGCUCCAGUGACCCCCCCCCCCCCCCCCCCCGCCGUGUGGGCACGGGAAUCCAGGUGUGGGUGUCACGAGGACGAGAACCAGCAGCUGCUGUUUGCAACAUGGCCGCUCAGGCCCAGAGGAUGCUAAGGGGUCAGCAUCCCCUGGGGAGGGCAGCGUGGGACGGGCUGGACCGGGGGGGCCAGGGCGGGCCAGCCGUGUGUUCCUCGGGCCCUGUUGCUCCUGACGGCCUGCCGGCGGCUCCCUCGAUGCCCCCGUGCCCGUCUUACAGCUUGUGUGCGGGGACCGCGUCUUCAGGCCUCCUGUCCUCCUCUCAAGUCCUGCUCGUGCUGUUCGCCCCCAGGUACGCCUGGCUUCCUCUGGGAAGCAUCCCUGGACGUGCCGGGGAGGUCUGUCCCCUGUGCUCCCCCCGUCUGUGAUCAUUCACUCAGUCACUGGGGACGGGUGUGGGGGGGUCUGUCUCGCCUCCUGGACCAGAAGCCCCGGGAAACCCGUCCUGUACCCGCCCCGUGUGGGGUGGCACCCGGUGGGCUUGGGGGGCCGAUGAAUGAGGGCUGGGCGUCCCCCCUGCCGCGGGAACCUGUGAGCCAGGAUUCUUCGUGGCCUGUUCCCUGUCAUCCGUGCCCGGCAUCUCGUGGGCUUCCGUCAGUGUGCGUUUGCGAACGAAUGCAUGACUUAGUGAGAAGGAAGCCCACCCAACAGGGCCCUGGACAGUGCAUGGGCCGUGUCUCUGCCAGAAGGAUUGUGUUCUCGGCGGGCAGAGAGUUCGUGGUGCAGGGGAGAGCCGGUCUCCCCCGCCCUCUGCCCUGGAAGGACGGAUGCCGGCUGUGGAAUUCUGUCCCGGGACAAGAUAGCAGCUGUGAAACGUGACCGGGGCAAGAAAAGUCUGUGCCUUAGUUCAUGCCACAGCUUCUCAUUCAUCAGUCCUGGCACUUUGCAUGGGGCGCUCACCUGCACGGUCACUGCCCCUGGAGCUGGCGGGAACCCCGCUUUGGCCGAAAGUGGCGAUCGGGUUCGGUAAUUUUAGCCACGUGUGUUGUCAUUUUGAUCACGAAGCCGAGAUGGAAAGAACAGUUCUCUUCAUUUCCUGAAGGCAGGCAGACAGCAUGAUUCGCUAUAUGCGCUUUUGUUAUUUAUUAAGGAGACCUUAUGUGAAGGUUGGAUUUUUUUUUUUAACUCUUUAAAUGUUUUUUUCAUUGUUGAGAGAGAGACAGAGCAUGAGCGGGGGAGGGGCAGAGAGAGAGAGGGAGACACAGAAUCGGAAGCAGGCUCCAGGCUCUGAGCCGUCAGCACAGAGCCCGACGCGGGGCUCGAACUCACAGACCGCGAGAUCACGACCUGAGCCGAAGUCAGACACUUCACCGACUGAGCCCCCCAGGCACCCCAUUGGGUUUUUUAAGGAGAAAUACUGGGAUGGGAAAAAGAAGCCCAGUUUAUGAACCAAAGGUUGUGAACCACGAGGGGGAACGUUGAGUGAACUCCAGGCACCUGGGGUAUGUCUCCACGAGCAGCCCCAAGGCCAUGGGGAGACCGUGGUCCCAAAUCUCAUGCUGCUCGGGCGUGGCUCUAGCUGGUGGUUUGUGGGUGCCUUGGGUCUGCUGACGUGGGGUGUGAACUGAGAGGCGCUUGCCCCCACCACCCCCCCCCCCCCCCCCGCCGGUCCCCUGCUACAGCAGGUGGCAUUCGGCGGCAGACAGGACGAGGCCCAGAGGCAUGGUAGUGUCUUUUCACGCUGUCCUGCUACCACCUGUUCCUGGAGGCACCAGCCUCGGCCCCGAAGCCUCUAGGAGCUGUCAGUGUGAUGCACUGCUGGCCGCGUGGCCUGUCUUCCGUGGUGUCGUGGGCUUUGUGGGAAUCUGUACAAAUGGCUGGAUCCUAGACUUCCGCCCUCCUGGAAUUGAGAGAACACCACACAGGAAGCAGGGCACACUGGGGUCGUGAGUCCGGGUCAGCCUGGAGCAGUCACUUGACCCGUCUGGUCUCAGUUUCCCCUGUUGAAGUGAAAGGCAGGGCGCCUGAAGAACUGGGGCCGUCGGGGUCCCCAGAGGCCUGGGUUUGGGGACGGGAUCUGGAGCUGGACAUUUUGACAUCCAGCAGGCUGUGUGAGAGUGUUUUCCCUGCAAACCUGCAGCCCACGGCAGGCCCCGGAUUUAGCAGAAUUUGACUUUUGAAAGUGACGUUUUCUUUUCAGGACCCUAAGCCUGAAAGUCUGGCCAUCUCACUGAAUUCUUCACCGGGGGCCCUUCCUUUUGGGGCCCUUCUGGAGUCAGUGUUGUUUUAUUUUGUGCACGGACACACACACACACGUGUGCACACACACGGGCGUGCAUAUGUGCACACCUGUGCAUAGAGGGGUGUGCAUGUAGAAUAAUGUCUCUGAUUCCCAAAGCAGUACCUGUUGAGGAUAGACAAUUUGAGGGCAGCAAAAUUUAUGAAAAGAGAAGUCACACAUCAUCUUGCCACAAACAAGCUUUUUAGACUUUUUGGUAUUUUUCUCAAUGUUUUUCUGUGGUUUCUCCUGUGUGUGCACAUGCACGUGUGCACACACCCACCCACAUACACAUGUGCGCACACACGCACACGUACACAUGUGCACACACCCACCCACAUACACAUGUGCGCGCACACGCACACACAUACACAUGUGCACACGCGCGUUCACACAUGCACACACAUACACAUGUGCACACACACACACAUACUGCUCUGUAAGUGGCAUGUGCCGCCCUGUGAUCUUGGUCUCUAGAGUCACUGUGGUCGAGGAGUUUUCACAAAUGCGUGGAAACUUCGAGAACGUAGCUUUUAACAAGGGCCUAUGAACACGACGGAAUUUGUUGGUAAAAUUCCUGGUCUGUUAUCCCAGGGCUUUGCAGAUAGGAAUGCUGUGGGAAGUCCUUGUCCUCAGAGCUCUGGUUUUCCAGAGUGGGGCUUCCGUCCGCGUCGUGAGUGCUUCGGACAUGCCAGGCGCGGGUCUCCCGAGGUGAUCGGGUCUCCGAGCAGCACGUCCUCGCACAGGGAGCCUGUGUGAGCACCGCGGCCCCCAGGCGCGCCCCGCCCCCCGUCUGCUUUCAGCGGGUCGUGCACUCUGGGUUAAGGCAGUUUGACAAAGCACUGCGUUCUCCUGCUCCGAAGGGGUCCACACUCUGUCCUAGAGUCCACAGAAACGUCUCUAAAAGCCGAAAGGCCUUUUCUGGAGCUCCUGUCGCUGGGGGCUGGGCUGAGGGGCCGGGCGGCUUGCAGAGACCCCCGAACGGAAGGGUGGCUGCAAACACAGGCUACGUGUCGGGAGAAGAGGCCGAGCGUCCGUGGAAGGAACGCCCCGCGUGUGGCCUUGGCUCCUUGUGAGAGGUCGCCUGCCGAGGAAGCGCUGACCCUCCCCACGAGGAGACACGAGCUGUGCUGCGAUUCUGUGCGGGGAGGCUCAUCGCCACUGGUUUCGUCGCCUCUGUCCAGACCUGACACACAGCAACUGUCCACGUCCUCCUGGAAUUUCAAACGCUGGACACACUGCGGGGGACGCUGUCCGGUGCCUCACGGUCAUGCACCGAAGUCGCAGCCGCCCCAGAGCCACUCCGAUGUCUUACUGUAUUUUGCAUCUGCAAAGUGGGACUGUUUGGUUUUUUCUAAAAUCAUCACCUUCGUGAGACUGGUUUCCUCUCUCGCUCUGAACUCACUUCGCGUUAGCUUCAUGCUCCCAGGGACAAAAUGAAGACACGUCGAGACGUUGGCGACUUUCAUCUAGAAACCACAUUCGGUCCGAUGUUCAAAGCGUUUGCAAAGACAGCAGAUAACAGCACAAAGGCUCCUCAGAUUCAAUCUCAGGCCAGAACUAUGAACCUUUAGCGUCCGCAUCUGCACUCACCUGGCUGUGUCUGGACCGCCCAGUGGUCUGUCUGGUGGCUCACACACGUGAACUCACACUCGUCAGACCUUUGGUCUUGAUUUCUCCUUCAAAGGUAGCGGCUAAAAUAUCAGUGAGAGCAAUUGGCACUUCACGUCCGCCUGGACACUGGGCAGAAAGCCUGUUCUGCGUGGCCGUCCGUGACCUGAAGCACACCGUAGGCGUUUUCCCUGGACCCACGGCGGUCACACUCACUGUUCGGGAACAGCCAUGUCCGAGGAGGAAGUACAAGCUAAAUAACAUCCUCUUUUUCAGGAUGUUUUUGGAUGUGUUGGUGAUGCAGGUGCAGUGGGAAGGGAAGACUGCAUUAUGUCUUAAUCAAACCAGAGCAGAAGUUGGAGAGAAGGGUUUCUACCUUAUUUUCAAUGUGCAUCAACAACGGUAGAUAAACAAUGACAUUGAUAGCUAGGGCACUGGGUUAGGACUCUGCAUGGUUGGGUUUAAAAAUUUUUUUUAAUGUUUAUUUUUGAGGGAGAGAACUUGAGCAGGGGAGGGGCAGAGAGAGAAAGGAGAGAGAGAAUCCCAAGCAAGCUCCACUCUGUCAGCACAGAGCCCGACACGGGGCUUGAACCCACCAACUUAACCGUGAGAUCAUGGCCUGAGCCGAAGUCAGACACUCAACCAACUGAGCCGCCCAGGUGCCCCCCACCUCCCAGGACUCUGCACAGGUUUUAAUUACACUCUGUAGGUAUCCGGUCUGAUCUUGGACAAGGCUCCCUUUUAUAAAUCCAAGAGCUUAAAACUUGGAAAAUGACAAAAUGUGAGUUUUUACUGAAGGUCACCAUAUUUCAAUUCCAGUACAAUUUUAAGCAUCCUGAAUAAGUUAAUCAAGCACUCCAGCACUAGGAAUGAAGUAAGUUACUAUCUGUUGAUUAAAUCUGCUUGCUUAUGAUUAAGGUCGUAUGGCUUCCAUUAAUUUUCAGUGAAGCCAGGUUCAUGAAUUGAUAAGGACUGAUAGCCAUUUAAACAAACAGAGGAACAUCUGACAUCUUAAGUUGUCAAGUAUCUCAAACACCAGAAACGAUGCGUAAAAGGAAAUAGACGAGUUAUCCUUUGCCUUGGAUGCUUUAAAUUUCCAGAAAAACCAAAUGAUACCAAGCUGGGAAAACGUCCCCUUCCUUCCUUCUUGGGAAGUAACCUCUAUGCCAGAUUCCUUCCUCUUCUUUUCACAUCCUGUAAACAACCUACAGGAUUUUACUUCGUGUGCAGGAUGUGGACGGUAUUGCAUGGUAUCUUUGUACCAGCUGCAAACCCUCAAAAAUUCGAAGUUGUGUUUUUGAGAUGUAUUCAUAGUCAUGUAAAUUAGCUCAUUUUCACGUAUAUAGUGAUUUGGGCAGACACGAGAGUAGUCUAAAAGCAGUCUAGUGAAUUCCAUUUGUGCAGCAGGACACCAAGCAUUCUCUCUAAAACACAGGACUGAGCACGGUCGCUGCCGGGUCACCUUCCCUGCACUUCCUCACAAACCAUCAGUGGCUCCCCACUGUAACCAAGACGGAGGGGCUCCAUGGACGUGGCUGGUCCUCCGCAGUACAGCCAGCCGCUUUCUGUUUCUAGAACCGCUCAGGCUUGUUUUCACCCCAGGACCUCCCCGUGGCUGCUCUCUCCCGCCUUCCCUGCUAACUGCUACCCCUCUCAGCGGUCAGCCUACCUUCCAUACUCUCGGAGGACUCUUUCCCCAUCCCGGAGUAGGAAUCCCGUCCACCAUCAUCAACUCUCAGAAGUGUGUGUUUCCUUCAUGGCACCCGCCACGGUUUGUAUUUCCAGUAGAGUUCACGUGACGGCUUUAGGUUCACCUUCCUCACGAGCCCGUGAGGGCCAUGGGGCCCGGGGCCACACCUGUUGUGUUCCUCGGUGCUUCCUGGUACGUCGUACACUUCCUGCUACAUUGUGGGUGUGCAACGUGAUCGACGAGGAAUGAGCCAGCGAAUGCACAUUGUUCGUCAUUUAUCAGUGCUGAGGGAUCCAUGGGAAGUUAACAGCACAACUGAGAAAAACCGGGAUUGAGUUGGCACGGGGAGUCUCUUAUUUUCCGGCUUUCUGUCGUUGUGGGACACUCCACUUUAUUUCAGUGGAUGCCCGGAACAGAUUCACUCGGAAAGGGCCAGGUUCACCCAAAUACUGCUCGGAACUGCAUCUUAUAGCUACAAUUUGCAGACUGUCAGUGAUUCUCUAACCUUAGUGCUCGCACUUGUAUGUUGGGCCAAAUCCAUGAUUCUUGAAUCUUGACCCACGAAGAAAGAGAGAUGCUUCUAUUUCAACAGAUUUUGAGUUGGCAUUCUUUUUUUUUUAUUAAGUUUUUUGAUGUUUAUUUAUUUUUGAGAGAGAGACAGAGCGUGAGCAGGGGAGGGGCAGAGAGAGAGGGAGACACAGAAUCCGAAGCAGGCUCCGGGCUCCGAGCUGCCAGCCCGGCCGAGGACGUGGGCCCAGAGAGCCCGCGAUGCCUUGGCCUUUAGCGCAGCACUGUUGAGCUGCCCUCAGAGCCGGGAGCACAGCGCUUGGAGCAGGACGCCUCGGGCUGACCGGCAGGGGUGCUCACCCCUGUGGCCCCCGUGGCUCCCGUGGCCCGCUCCGCUGGUGAACGCAUGGAAUGAGCCCGGGCAGGUUUUCCUGAGGCCACGCAGUCAACGCUCCAGAGAUGGGAAAAGAGAAGGCUGUCGUGGUUUGGGUCUGUUGCUGAUUUUUUUGGUUUUCUGAGACUAGGAACUCGAACUGUCUGGGCUUCAGGCGUUUUCUCCUUUACUGAGUCAAGACGGUGGUGACACUUGUCCUCACGCAUGGAUCGCGAGGGCGCUCGUCUGGGUACACGGGUGGGGCUGUUCGCGCUCCUUCGUCCCGCUCGAGGCUUUCUGUGCUGCUGUCGGGGCGGGAACCUCGCUGUGCACGCUUUCCCGGCAGGAGCUGUGCUGUGCCCGGUUCUCCCUAAACGUCCCGCUUAACCCCCUGGGCGAUGCAGCGCGGCGGUUCUUGUCUUCAGCCAGUCUGACUGCGGUUUCCAGGGACGGGAAUCCCACCCAAGUCAGCAUAGGUUACGGAUGGAACUUAUUAGCUCACGUACGUCAGAAGCCCCGGGGUGCAGCUGGCUCUGGGCACGGCUCGAUCCAGGGGCCUCUCUUUCCAUCUCCUAGGUUUUGCUCUGUGUGUUGGCUUCCUUUUCUCCUACUGAAAACAAGCUUUCCUUUGAUUUCAGCUCCCUGACCCGCGGAGGCAAGGCCCUUUCUCCUCCUGCAUCAACUGGAAGGCUGAUGUGUCACUGCUGCAAAAGACCUGGCUUGAGGCCGUGCUCCGCUGAACCCGGCACCGAGGAGCGGGCCGGGCCCGGAGCAGCCCUGUAAUUAAAACCCACCCGCAUCUUCUAGGAUUACAGAGCAGUAUCGUUUAUCUAGGAAACGGAGAACCCGGCAUAGUUGUGGAGGAGAUUAGAAAGCCCAUCUUUAUUUCAACCCCCAAUCCCUUUCAAGAACUCUUUUUGUCGGCAGUAUCCUCGCUCCUUGAUAGAACUGUAAUGUGUGUCAUCCUUGGUACAGCUUCCGAACUUCCAUGUGUUUUCAGAGUUUGUUUUUUGUUGUUUACCUAGUUAGCGCCAUCCAUCCAUCCAUCCGUCCAUCCAUCCAUCCAUCCAUCCAUCCAUCCAUCCCUCCAGCGUUUACUGGUUGUGCUUGGAGAACCCAUCCCUGUGCUAAAGACAGAAUGACUAAUGAGAUCUUCUGUCCCGAAUUUCACGUUCUUCUAGAAAAGGGUGGUGCGCAGGCAGAUGGGGGGCGAUACUAGGUGGAGCUAAAUUAAGACAUUCUGGGAACACAGACCACACCACCUCACAGGGAAGGGAGGCGAGCGGUUUCUCCCGGAUGGGCUGCACGGGGCUGGAGCUCAAGAAGGAGGGGGAUCGUAAUUGAAAUGCUGACCAAGCUGGCUCGGGGCAGGAGGAACCCGUCAGCCCAGGAUCUAAGAUACAGACCUGCACGAGGGCGCAGGUGUCCUGGGAACAGCUCAGAGCCUCCUUCACCAGCCUUGGCCUCGGGACUUUAGGAAGAGCUGUUACAUACACCUGUUAUUCAGGAAAUUCUCUGAAAUUUUACUUGGUGCAAGUGAGCCCUGCCAAAGAUUCACCCCCUAAAGUUACAAAGAUCGUAACUGCCCUAAAUGACUCCCGCCAAAGCGCUCUGAGCAGGUGCGCGCACACCGCUGACUGCUUUAUUCUCAGAGCUGGGUGGGGCACCCAGAGUUACUAGGACCGGGGACAGGACGCCCUGGGCAACGGACAGAGCGUUUGGAGACGGUGUGGGCUUCAGUCCGCCCAGCUCGCGGCUGUGACGGAAAUCCCCUCGUGCGCCAUCAGUAGCGCGUGCGGAAGCAUUGGGCGUGGCGCUUCUGGGGCAGGUGCACUUGAGCCAGGGCGCUGGUUCCACUCUGGCUCUGCCACUUACCAGCCGCGUGGUUGGUUUGUUGUAUGAUGUGGGUGAGAUUGCUUCACAUCUCCUUUCCUCUUCUGUAAAAUGGGGCUAGUGAAAGCAAGGGCCUCACAGGACGGUGGUGAGGGUUGUGCGUGUUUGCAUGAUUUAUCACAGGAGAACCGUGCCUGGCAUAAGAGAUGUUUGCUAUCGUUUUUAUCGCUACUAGUGUGUGCUCAGCCUGUGUUACAGUUCAUCUGCGCUUUUAGGAAUCUCCUUCAUAAAAAAUAAAAAUCAUACAUUGUAGUGUGGUCACAUAAACCCCAAUGUCACUGGACCUCCCGAAAGGCACCACUUACUCAUCAAAUUAUUCACCAAAGUAUGUCACCAGCCACCCUGUCCAUUUCCUUUUCUUUUCUUUUUUUUAAUGUUUAUUUUUGAGAGAGAGAGAGAGAGAGAGAGAGCGAGCAUGGAAGGGCACAGAGACAGGGGGAGACAGAAUCCUAAGCAGGCUCCAGGCUCCGAGCUGUCAGCACAGAGCCCCAAGUGGGGGUUGAACCCAUGAACUGUGAGAUCAUGACCUGAGCCGAAGUCGGUCGCUCAACCGACUGAGCCCCCCCACCCCCCCAGUCACUCCUACCCUGUCCAUUUCUAAACUACACAGACUAUGUUACCUAAGUUGGUUUUAGUUUUCUUUUAUUCACUGAGUAUCUCCAUGCUUGAAACCUCGUAGCUCUCUCCCAGACACGCUGGGUGUGGACCACUUCUCCCGUCUCCCGACACCAUGCAGCACCGUGCUCUUGGUGGCCAGACAGCAGUGUUACUGGGAUGUGUUUCAAAAUGAAGAAGCAUCUUGGGAUCGAUGCUUCUUCACGCCUGGCUUUGGACUUUGUAAUUCUGCACACAUAGUGUGAUGGCCCUCCUAAAACUCCACUCUGUACUACGAAGAGGAAACAUGAACCAGGCAUUGGGGUGAAGAUCAGAGCCUCGCGGAACAUCGGUUCAUCCACAGCCUGGGCUCCCUCCUGACCCACCAGCUCUAGGCCCCCUCCAAAACUGCCAACUCGUUUUAACUGGGGCCCAAAGAAGACAUCAUCUUGAAAAGUAAUAUUGGUGUGAACAGCCGAGGCAAACCAACACAUUCUUUUUUUUUUUUUUUUUAAUUUUUUUUUUUUCCAACGUUUAUUUAUUUUUGGGACAGAGAGAGACAGAGCAUGAACGGGGGAGGGGCAGAGAGAGAGGGAGACACAGAAUCGGAAACAGGCUCCAGGCUCUGAGCCAUCAGCCCAGAGCCCGACGCGGGGCUCGAACUCACGGACCGCGAGAUCGUGACCUGGCUGAAGUCGGACGCUUAACCGACUGCGCCACCCAGGCGCCCCUACAUUCUUUAAUCCAAUAGAAAAUUCUGGAGCUUCCUGUGAGUUUGUAAGACUGUGUGACAGUUCUGUCUGUGGCUUUCUUUGUUGAUGAACCUCACAUCGAGUGCCGGCUGCUCACCAGGAGGAUGGUGUCUUUCUGGUGUUGAGGGAGGCACACGUGGGGACAGCACGGGCGCCGUCCCCAGGGCCUCUGGGACCUGACGGGUGUGGAUGGAGACGUCGAUGGAGCAACAGGCUGGGCAGGACGUGGACGGCACCCAGGAGGAGCUCCUUACAAGCAGUACGUGUCACGGAAACUCACAUAAGCUUCCUAAGUCGAUUGACAAAUACAGUUUUUUUUUAUUUUUUUAAUGUUUACUUAGUUUUGAUAGAGCAUGAGCGGGGGAGGGGCAGAGAGAGAGGGAGACCCAGAAUCCGAAGCAGGCUCCAGGCUCCGACUGUCAGCACAGAGCCCGACUCGGGGCUUGAACUCACGCGAGAUCACGCGAGAUCACGCGAGAUCAUGACCUGAGCCGAAGUCGGACGCUCAACCGACUGAGCCACCCGGGCGCCCCGACAAAUACGUUUUUUUUUUUUUUAAAGCUGCCUGUAAUUAUUUAAAGGAUUCUUUUUAGCAACCUAUAUUACGAUGAAGCAUAUUUAAUUUUAAAUCAACUAAUUUCCACGUUAGAGACACAAACAAUGUUCCCAUUAGGAUAUCGUACGAUCAUUAAAAAAAAUUCAUUGUUCAUAGUGAAGAAACUCAUGGAAAGAAACUGUAAAACUUCGGUUUAGGUUUCUGUGAAGAAGAAACUCCUUCAGGGGGAAACGCUACAUAAAUGACAUUUAAAUAAGACUUGUUCUUGAAACACUUUCUGACUACAGUCAAGAAGGGAGCCUGUCACUGUCACCUACGUAUCCACCCUGACACGUCCCUUUUCACCAUCUGCCGCAGCAGCCCCCAGAAGCAGUGUUCGGGGCAACACCUGAUGGCGAUCACUCGGGAAAGAAGUCCUUCCUGAUGCCACGACCAGGUGCGGGGUUUCGGUUACUUCAUGUGGCCAGGACGGGCACCCUGCCCAGAGUCCUGCAGGACUCCCUUACUGGAAUUCUGAUUCUAGAACCAACCAGCACAUGGAGGGAAAACUGUGACUCCCAGCCCGAGGAAAUUGGGCGAUAACCUCGUCAACAGGAUUGCUGAGGCCUCGGGGCUGUUAGAUGCAAAACGGGCUGACUCUUCCCCCAUCUGUUUUUUUUUUUUUUUUUUUUUAAUUUUUUUUUUCAACGUUUAUUUAUUUUUGGGACAGAGAGAGACAGAGCAUGAACGGGGGAGGGGCAGAGAGAGAGGGAGACACAGAAUCGGAAACAGGCUCCAGGCUCCGAGCCAUCAGCCCAGAGCCUGACGCGGGGCUCGAACUCACGGACCGCGAGAUCGUGACCUGGCUGAAGUCGGACGCUUAACCGACUGCGCCACCCAGGCGCCCCUGUUUGUUUUUUUUUAAGUUCAUUUUGGGAGAGGGGGAGCGUGCAUGCACACAAGCAGGGGAGGGCAGAGAGAGGGAGAGAACCCCAGGCAGGCUCUGCACUGUCAGCACAGAGCCCGACAUGGGGCUCGAUCCCAGAACCAUGAGAUCAUGACCCUAGCUGAGAUCAGGAGUCAGACGCUUAAUCGACUGAGCCCCCAGGCGUCCCUACUCCCCAUCUGUUUUCAGGCAAAAUCACAGCAACGGGCCACUCAGGGAGGAGGGGAGACAGAGCUACUCCUGUGGAGCUUCUUUAACACCUUUCGGGAAAGGAAGUGGUCCCUCUGCGUAAUGUCCUCAUUUCUCCUGUGGACUCUGACCCGCCCAUUCUUCAAGGUUUGGGAGAGACUCGGAAGAGGCCCGAAGUGGUGCUUGGGGACCGUCUUCCAGAAGCGCUGGCCAGGAGCUUCCGGUGGGGGGUGGGUGGGGAGGGCUGGCCUCCCGGCUCCUAACUCGGCAUCACCGUGCCUGACGUCGAGUGGCAGGCCGUCUUGGGGCCCGGCCGGUAACACCCGUGUGCGGCAUCGCCUUGGCUGGCUGGACGUGAGCAGGGACUGACCUGGUCCCGGGGUGCACAGCUGGGCACGUGGCUGAGCCGGGAGGGGCUCUCGUGGCCGCAUCACUGAUAUCCAGGCAAGGGGGCCUCUGCCCACCGGCUCUAACCGCAGCCGGGUUCCCCGGGGAGCCCGGGGCCCGAGCGUCCGCGGAACAGCAUGAAACCGUCUCUGCUGCAAAUAUCCCUCAAGAGGACAGUUUCACAACUUUCACGUGUGCCGAGGAGUAGACGUGGUAUUGUCACUAGGACUCUAGAGGCGGGAUUUUCGAGAGGAUUGUUCAUCUUUCUCUGGGUGGCUGGGCCGAGAACCGGUUCCGUCUCUCCCCGGCCAGCAGACGGCCCCGGCGGGCCACACCACGGGCUGCUCUGGAUUGUGUUGGUUCCUUUGUGGAGCGAGAGCCCGUGCUUCAUUGUAGCUACAACAUACCCCACGCUUCCCAGCCCGAGUCUCUUGGGCCUCACACUCAUGCUGUAGGGCUUUCAAAACACAGAGCCCCAAGCGUAAGCUUUAAAAAUGCGUCCUGUUCUCUGCCGUUCCUUUCGGCCUGUGAUGAUUUACAAGAAGACAACUCUUAGGGUUUUCUUGGAACCGAGUCCAGCCAGAGAAAGAACCAGGAAGUUCUGGGGCCCUUUCUCAGCCACAAAAAGAAAUAAAAUACUAGCUUGGUUCUCUGAGGUCUACGGUCUUAGGCGGAGUGCAGAAGUGUGAAAGAACGAGCCUGAGAACACAGCCAGUCCCUCUGACUUUCUGCCCGACGUGAAGGUUCACGGGUGGAUACUUUUACCCGUUUCCCCCACCGCUGACUCUGGCAGCCGCCAGUCUCUUCUCUGCAUCUGUGAAGUUUGAGUACGAUUUGUCAGUACAUCUCAGACCUUCCCUUGAGUGACCUCACUGAUGAGAAAGCACCACUGGGUCCCUGGGGAGACACCACGAGCUUUGCUUACACAGUGCGUACAGGUUUCCAGUUCGUUGUCACGCUGCCUCGCUGUGGGCCAGCGGUCACGGCCACCUCGCCGGGGCAUGGCCGCCGGGGCCGGGAUGGACAGCACUGAGCCUGCACCACAGCGGGGCUGGGCCACAGCUGAGUAAACAGGAGAGCCUCCUCCACCACCCGCGCCCCCGGGCAGGCCAGGCUUUCAGCUUACUCUGCGUUUCCCUGUGUCCCGGGACUCUGCUUUGCACACAGCGGACGUGCCCUGAAAGUUACUGUUAAAGAUAUCUGGAAAGGAGAGACAGAGGAAGGGAGGGAGAGAGAGAGAGAGAGAGAGAGAGAGAGAGAGAGAGAGAAUUGAAUGUCUUGAAUUUUCAACUUGAAGACAUUUACUGCUAACAUAAUGGGAAAGUUUUUUUUUCUUAAUGUUUGUUUAUUUUUGAGGGAGAGAGAAAGAGAACGAGUAGGGGAGGGGCAGAGAGAGGGAGACACGGAAUCCAAAGCAGGCUCCAGGCUCCGCGAGCUGUUUCAGCACAGAGCCCGACACGGCGCUUGAACUCACGAACCAGGAGACCAUGAUCUGAACCGCAGUCGGACACUUAAUCAGCUGAGUCCCCUAGGCGCCCCGGGAAUAGUUUUUUAGUAAUAGCAGCAGGAGGAACAGGGCAGGCAAGUGUAAAUGCUGAACCCUGAACGUAGGCGAGGUAGAAACCAGGAGAGGUUGAGGGAAGGUGAUUGUCAUGGAUCUCAGUGGAGAGGCUAACACAUCCUACAUGUGGUUUCCUUCCCUGUAAGUUCUCUUCUUCAGAAAGCUGGGACACGGUCGGGCCGUCCCUUUACGUUCGUGGUAAAACUGCCAAGAUCCUUCCAGGCUGGGGACUCUCAGAAGGUUUUGCCAACUUGGGAAAGAUAUUUCAUGACUUUACGGUUCACCUGCACGUGCUCACAUCUGCCUUCCACAUACUUCCUUUUUAAUUCUUCUUCUUCUUCUUCUUCUUCUUCUUCUUCUUCUUCUUCUUCUUCUUCUUCUUCUUCUUCUUUUGUUGUUGCUUUGGCUUUUUUUUGCUGUGCAUGGACUGUUUGUGGGGAAUUGCUUCCCUGAGGUUUUAAAGACACGAUUCCAAGAAUGAGCAGUGCAGACCGAUUUCGGAGUUAGGCCUCUGAGGCCAGAGCAGGUCCUUCCUCCCAGUAUCUUUUGCCACUUAAUUUGAAUCAACUGGAAAAGACUGUAGGAAAACUCAUAUUAAUACAAUUAAUAAGGUCAAUUAUGCUCUCUCACUGACCGUUCUUUACAUAUACAUCUCAUUACUUUGAAAAUAAGCUGUUGAUAUUUGACUGCUUUUUAGCCGCAAAAUGAGUUUUGUUCAGAUCAACCCUAUGUGUUUAAAGCCCUCUACCUGAAUUGGGUUCUCCUUCGGGGGCCUCACAGUCAGGGCAGGAACAGGGGAGAGAACACUUCCAAAAAUCCCUAAAUUAUUCUGUAUAUCUUCUCCAUCAAACUCUCCAGCAGCCCAAAGUCACAAACCCGUUUCCCACCAAACGUGAGUCCCCUAACCUGAAAGUCAGGGGCAGCGCAGUAGACCCCACUGACACAGAAUAACCCCACUGAAAAGUGCACAUUCAAACGCCCUCUCUCUCUCUAUCUCUCUCUCCCAUAAACAGGAACAAGAAGAAUGUGGUGACACCAUAUGGAAACACCUGAUGUUCCACAAAGGAAGAGGCUCCUGACGGAUCCGUGAGGAAGGCCAGCUCUCAGGGCAGUAAUUGUGUUUUUCUAACACCUGGGCAAGUGAAUUAUGGACACCCCCCGGGGGUGAACAGUGCGCACGCAGACGCAUCAGGACUGCUGCUGAUGCUGCGAGGCGAGACUAAUAUAAAUGGGAGUCGUACAAAUAAAAGCUCCGUGGGGGGGCUCUCUACCGAAGCCCGAGUUCAAGUCCCCCUUCUGAAGUUUAGAGACAGCCUGCCUGGGUGGUGUUUGUCCUCGGACCCAGUGAGGAGACCCGGAGUGAUGAACACUGACUCGGAAGGAGGGGGCAUGCCCCGGUGGGUCAGCCGUACCCAGUAGCCCAGUGCUUUGGGGACGGAGCCGCGGAUACCCGGCCGGUGCCUGCGCGGGACCCUCAUGAAAGCAUCAGUGCUGCGGCCUGGGGACCAAGCCACGGAGACCCCGACGCCCGGCUGGCCAUCAGUAGCGUGCCUGCGGUUCAGCAGCUCAGCCGAGAGUGCAUCUAGGGCCGACCGCCUCCUGCACGCGGGAGAGGGCAGCGCUGUGUGAGCGCCACGGGGGCUGUGGACGCAGAAGUGAAAUCUGAUCGCGGGCCAGGAAAAGCCUGCGCAGCUAGAGCCCAGAGGAACCGCCGACCUUGAGUCAGGGCGCGGUCAUG